ACGUCGUCGCGGGGCCUUCCCCCGCUCUGCCUUUCCCGUCACCCCCCUCUGUAGCGGCCGGGCUGACGUAAAUUCAUCGCCAGUUCCGAGUCCAUUAUUCCGAGUCUGAAAGUCGCCCCGUGUUCAUUCGACCAUCUGUGGCGGACGCCGGUGGUUCCAGGACUAGCGAACCCCUUGCCGGCACGGGCUAGCGCGUGCGCGACCGUCGUGGAACCCCCUUGCGUGCGCCCGCAUCCGCCUCCGAACUUCGUCGCACCAUGACGGCCCUCAGAUCAGAGCAGCUGAGAUGCUCUCGCGGUCUCCUCCUGCUCCUCGUGGCCACCUCGUCGUUCGCUUCGGCGCAGCUGGCCGGCAAUUCCACGCACGCUGUGCCUGUGACGGGCCUCUCUGUCGGCCGGACUUCGACGACCACGACGACGGCAAAGCCGGACCCCAUCAAGGAGGCUUUCGACUCCCUGUCCGAACGGAUCACGCGAAUCAUGAUGAAGGAGUUCUACCCCAUGGUCAGCGAGCUCAUCUACGACCAGCGCCUUUCAACGGGCUGUAUCGGAUCGCUCAUGAAGAUCGGCCCGGCCUUGCAAAACUUCGACAUCUGGGCCGUAGAAAUGGUGGACGCCAUCGGCAAGCCGCACGCAGGCGCGACCCAGGGCCGCAUCGCUGCCUACGGCGCGUACGAACAGUGUCCUGGGCAUUAGGCACAACGAGAACCUGUUCCAGGGCAGGUACUGCAUGAUACACAUGUACCACGACGGUUCUGACCUGCCACCUACGGUGUACAAAAUCGCCGACAAGUUCCUCAAGCACCAGAAGCUCGAGUAUAUCGGAAACAUUUCACGAGUGGCCGACAAGGAGUUCGUGUCUUUGAUCCCGCUUCUCAAGUACGGCGUUUGUUUACCUUCCAUCUGUCAUCAGGAGGACGUCCAAGUCAUCAUUGACCACUUUGUCGGUGAACUCGACCUUAAUAUCACGGCCCAAUGGUGCAAGGUCGAGGAGCCAGUAAAGUUGGAUCAACGGCAAACUCUAAUUGUGUGCCUAUUCGUGCUGUGGACAGCCUUUAUUCUCUUCGGGACCUGCCUACGACAUCUACAGGACGAUGCUGUCGACGGAAGAAAUCAAGGAACCUAAAUACCACCCAUUCAUAACCUACCUGUCCGACUCGGUACAGUCGGUCUCUCUUCGAAGGGCGUUCAAGAAACUGAUGGAUAUGCCCAACUGGGGCGACUACUCCAACAGGCUUGGGUUCAUUCACGGCGUGCGCGUCUUCUCUGCUACGUGGGUCGUUCUGGGGCACAGCCAUAUGCUUCGGGACCUGCACGCCAGCUCCAACAUGAUUCGUUUCCUCAGGCGGAUACAGGAGGACUUCUUGUUCACUGUCCAACUGAACGCCUUCUUGUCUGUCGAGACGUUCCUUGUCAUAACGUAAGUACUAAGGUAGCUAACACGCAAAUCGGCGCAGUUUUACCCGAGGAAAAGAAAUGUAUCAGUGCAACCAGUUUUGAUACGAUGAGUCUGACUUAGUAUUCUGGGUGUUUCAUUUUAACAAUAACAAAUUGAUUAAAAAAUCGUCCGUGGAAAUUAGCACAAAUCUACUUACCGAGCUGCAUAUAAUGUAUUCUUCGAAUGUACUGUAUGCCUCUUGGAUGCAUACAUUACUUAAACUGAAAACCAAUGCGCAUGAUUGACUAAUUAACAAAAUUUUAAUAAUUAGCUUGUUAACUAAUUACUUUAGAGCACAUAAUGAAAUACAUCAAUUGAAGCAAGUGAUUUCACAAGGCACAUGCACUUGCUACGAAUUUUGAAACUAGCACCAGUACUGAGAUAAGCGCAGUGAAACUUGCCGUAAAAGUGCACUGUUGUUCUACUUACUUUUUAAGCGAAGCUUUAUAGGCUCACAAGUGUCGGCGGUGGUGGUGGUGGUACGCUGAAAAGUGGGCCGAUCCUGGUGGCAGUGCAGAAAGGGUCCAAGCUCAAUGGCACAUACCAAGGACAAAAAGAGAGAAAGAGAGAGAAAGCAAGAAAGAGAGACAGAAAGAGAGAGAGAAAUAGAAAGAAAGAAAAAAGAAACGAGAGAGAGAAAGAAAGAGAGCGAGAACGAGAGAAAGCAAGGCAGAGAUAAAGAAAGAAAGGAAAUCACCAGGAAGGUCGGAUACACACACGAUAAGCUUCGGUUACCCCUAUUUUCUUGACAGGGGAAGGGCUGGUGAUUUUUAACAAAGCGUCUUUUUAUGCACUGAAGCUCGAAAGUUACUGGAACACCAAUGCAUUUCGUUGCAAACUUUGGGAACCCAUACCUCGAAACUGGUGCCACCCUCAGACUUCAUUCCAAGUGCAUAUGACAUGAAAAGUCACCGUCUACAAUUCGUAAAUUACAAUAUGUGACGUAAAGUAAUUACUUUGAGAGUUAAUGCCCUAUACACGCGUCCUAGCGCGCAAGGAGUCACACGAUGUGAUAUGCGCACCGCGUAGCGUAGAUACGUGCACACUUUGCAUUGCAGUUGCAUAUUACCGCACCAUGUGGCACGUUAUGUAGUAGUUGCUCAGGUAGAUAGAGCAGGCAAGGUCGACAAG
Dermacentor silvarum is the source of this 2568-nucleotide long non-coding RNA. RefSeq lists it as uncharacterized. The record is from RefSeq and is a predicted model, not a curated record. The transcript has 7 exons. NCBI's taxonomy places the organism in Eukaryota, Metazoa, Arthropoda, Arachnida, Ixodida, Ixodidae.